UACGUAGGGGGCAAGCGUUAUCCGGAUUUACUGGGUGUAAAGGGGGCGCAGACGGCGAUGCAAGCCAGGAGUGAAAGCCCGGGGCCCAACCCCGGGACUGCUCUUGAAACUGUCUGGCUAGAGUGCAGGAGAGGUAAGUGGAAUUCCUAGUGUAGCGGUGAAAUGCAUAGAUAUUAGGAGGAACACCAGUGGCGAAGGCGGCUUACUGGACUGUAACUGACACUGAGGCUCGAAAGCGUGGGGAGCAAACAGG
RNAcentral lists this ribosomal RNA (253 nucleotides) under uncultured Eubacteriales bacterium. RNAcentral's name for it is "uncultured Clostridiales bacterium partial 16S ribosomal RNA". It matches the Rfam family "Bacterial small subunit ribosomal RNA", at positions 524 to 776 of the family's 1533-position model. The record is from RNAcentral. Lineage: Bacteria; Bacillati; Bacillota; Clostridia; Eubacteriales.